GUUAGUGCACGGUUAGUGGCUGUCUUUCACGUUUCGAUGCAGUAUAAACUAUAAAGUGAACUAUUAAACAUUUCAAAAAGUUUGUUAAGUAGCAUAAUGUGUUAAAGCAGAUUAAAUGUGAAACCAACAUUAUAGUGAGAUCCUUGUGAAUGGAAAAUAGCAUGAUCCAGGCUGUUCUUCAAUUGCAAAGAAAGAGAAUCAUGAUCGAAACGAAUGGAAUAUAUCCAACUGGAAUUCUCUUCAAAUUCGUGGUAUGAAUCUGUCGCCGCCAUUCCAUAGACUGACCCAUUGGGAUGGUGAAACUGAGGAGAAAACGCUGAAAUUCAAGGAAAUUAUGUUGAUGUAGAUAAAUUAAAAGUGCAUAUCUGG
Molecule: long non-coding RNA, 369 nt
Organism: Daphnia pulicaria
Lineage: Eukaryota; Metazoa; Arthropoda; Branchiopoda; Diplostraca; Daphniidae
Exons: 3
Source: RefSeq, a predicted model, not a curated record